This 493-nucleotide ribosomal RNA is filed under the name uncultured bacterium. RNAcentral's name for it is "partial 16S ribosomal RNA". It matches the Rfam family "Bacterial small subunit ribosomal RNA", at positions 28 to 523 of the family's 1533-position model. The record is from RNAcentral.
GUUGAACGCUGGCGGCAUGCCUUACACAUGCAAGUCGAACGGUAACAGGUCUUCGGAUGCUGACGAGUGGCGAACGGGUGGGUAAUACAUCGGAACGUGCCUAGUAGUGGGGGAUAACUACUCGAAAGAGUGGCUAAUACCGCAUGAGAUCUACGGAUGAAGCAGGGGAUCGCAAGACCUUGUGCUACUAGAGCGGCCGAUGGCAGAUUAGGUAGUUGGUGGGAUAAAAGCUUACCAAGCCGACGAUCUGUAGCUGGUCUGAGAGGACGAUCAGCCACACUGGGACUGAGACACGGCCCAGACUCCUACGGGAGGCAGCAGUGGGGAAUUUUGGACAAUGGGCGAAAGUCUGACGGAGCGACGCCGCGUGAUGGAUGAAGACCCUUCGGGUCGUAAACAUCUUUUAUAGAGGAGAAAGUGCAAUCCUUCGGGUUUGCAUUGAUAGUACUCUAAGAAUAAGGGGUUGCUAAACUCGUGCCAGCAGCCGCAGUAA